Molecule: ribosomal RNA, 416 nt
Filed under: crenarchaeote SCGC AAA288-A16
Lineage: Archaea; Thermoproteati; Thermoproteota
Description: SSU rRNA
Rfam family: Archaeal small subunit ribosomal RNA
Source: RNAcentral
GCGGUAAAACCAGCACCUCAAGUGGUCAGGAGGAUUAUUGGGCCUAAAGCAUCCGUAGCCGGCUCUGUAAGUUUUCGGUUAAAUCUAUAUGCUCAACGUAUAGGCUGCCGAAAAUACUGCACAGCUAGGGAAUGGGAGAGGUAGACGGUACUCGGUAGGAAGGGGUAAAAUCCUUUGAUCUAUCGAUGACCACCUGUGGCGAAGGCGGUCUACCAGAACAUGUUCGACGGUGAGGGAUGAAAGCUGGGGGAGCAAACCGGAUUAGAUACCCGGGUAGUCCCAGCUGUAAACGAUGCAGACUCGAUAAUGCACUGGCACAUAGCCAGUGCAGUGUCGCAGGGAAGCCGUUAAGUCUGCCGCCUGGGAAGUACGUACGCAAGUAUGAAACUUAAAGGAAUUGGCGGGGGAGCACGGUC